UUUUAAAAGCUCCAAGCCAUUAACUUUAUUUUUACUGAAUUCAGCAUGGGGUGACAAAAAUGCAUUAUAUCAUUACAAUCAACUUUUACAUGCAGACAUUUAUCUUUGCAUUCCUUAAAUUCACUUUCUAUUUUAUAUCUGGUAAUUCAUAUUAAUUUAAAAUACAUGAUUUCUUACUAAAAAUCUCCAGUUCAUAAAACCAAGGGUUUAUAACUUCUCCUUAAAAUGUUAUAUUCCUUUAUUAUUGAAAAUUCAAUGGUUUAAAUUGCUAGGCUUUUUUAAAUGUUUAAAGGAUUAAGUUUAUUUACCAGGAGCAGACAAACAAAACAUAAUAUAAAAAUAGCUUUCCAGAAGCUAUUCCCAUUCUUUUCUUCCCUUUCUCCUGAAAACUGGUGUUUUAUCUUUACAAGUUCUCUGUCAUUCCAUCGGAAAGCUGCUCUUCUUCCGGUUUCCUAAGAGAUGGUGAACAGUGGCAAAAAAUCCGCUUUACCUAAAUUCCAGAGCUCAUUUCAGAGAGCAAAUGAUGGGGUGGGAUGUUGGGGCAGAGUAAGAGAUACAGAUUCUGGUGAGACUGAGAGUCAUUCACAAAAGUUACAGGGCUGUGGUGAAGGGAGAACAAAAACAAACUGGGUUCUCACAAGUGGGCGACAAGUCAAAAUGACAGGAAUGGUGAGGUAGCAGGGCAGUGUGAUUAGGCCCACUGGUGCUAUGCCUUCUGAUAGUAGUUCUGAACAGAAACCAGACUAUAAUUAACAAUAACAUGUAGGUAAUUAAUCUUUGAAAGUUGAGGCAAAGAAGGAAGGAUGGCAUUAGACCUUGUCGCUGGUUUAUUCAGUUUCUUAGGCUGAUGUGUGAGACCAUCUUGGGUGAAAUCUUAACAAAAUCAUUCUUUGCUAAGAUGAUCAGCUCUCAUAGGGUUCUUUCUCUGCACUCUCCAAUGAUAGAGCCCACUGGUUCAUGCCUCCUGGAAAACAGUUAUUCUAAAACAGUAUAGGUAAAGCACUGAUGAGACGGCCUUGGAGAACAUGUUUCCAGGUAGCCUGAAACCCAGCAGACAAUGUAGCUGUUGCCCAAGAAACACAGAAAUCUACAUUGUAUGCCAGGUUCAUGCCCCAGACCUGGAUGUUGGGCCUGCAAGUUCUCCCCACAUAAGACUUCAACACAAUUCCCUGCUGCAUUCAAGAUUUCUUGUAUUUAUCCUCUUUACCACAGGACAAGACAACCACAAGUCAGAAGGCACUGUUGGGACUUAUCUGCUACAAGUGAAAUUUCCUUAAAGUGUCAUACCAACAAGUCGUCAUUAUUUAAUCACAUUAUUUUGAGAAUGCCAUCUAAAAGUCGAGAGAUGAAAAGAGACAGAUGGAUGGAUGGAUGGAUAGAUGGACAGAUGAGAGAGACAAGAUAAGAUAGAUGGGUAGGUAGAUAGACAGAUAAACAAAUAGGUAGAUAAUGUUGUGACCAAGUGAUUGAUUUAUAGAUAGAUAGAUAAACAGACGGGUGGGCAGGUAGGUAGAUACAUAGAUAGAUGGUUUUGUGACCAAAUGAUACCUUCCACAGGGAGAAGAGAGAGAGAAAAAAAGAAAAUCCAUGGAUAAAAUAUCCACAUUCCUCCCUCUUGUGGUUGAAAUCAAAUACAUCUCAUCAUUUAUAAAACCUUGAUGGUUCCCAUACUCCAGCUAAUGGUGGAAGACUUACCACCCAGAGCUUAACUCUGUAUGUGUAUAUGUCUGUGUAAAUCAAGGUAAACCUUUCAUUAUUAAAGACGUCCCAGUAAUCUUGCUCAGGACACUGUAACAGAAGCUAGAAGAUGCCAUCAGAGACCCAGUAGCCAGAUGUAGCUGCUGAUUACAAAAGACAGGAUCUACACUGGCUACUGAGCCAUUGAGGGUACCUACACUUUCCAGCAGCUAGA
Molecule: long non-coding RNA, 1912 nt
Filed under: Equus caballus (horse)
Lineage: Eukaryota; Metazoa; Chordata; Mammalia; Perissodactyla; Equidae
Description: lncRNA (ENSECAG00000057662.1)
Source: RNAcentral